GACGAACGCUGGCGGCGUGCUUAACACAUGCAAGUCGAGCGAUGAGAUCACUUCGGUGAAGGAUUAGCGGCGAACGGGUGAGGAACACGUGAAGAAUCUGCCUUCAACUCUGGGAUAACUCCGGGAAACCGGGGCUAAUACCGGAUAUGAGCCUUGAUCGCAUGAUCGGGGCUGGAAAGUUUUUCGGUUGAAGAUGACUUCGCGGCCUAUCAGCUUGUUGGUGAGGUAAUGGCUCACCAAGGCGACGACGGGUAGCCGGCCUGAGAGGGCGACCGGCCACACUGGGACUGAGACACGGCCCAGACUCCUACGGGAGGCAGCAGUGGGGAAUAUUGGGCAAUGGAGGAAACUCUGACCCAGCGACGCCGCGUGCGGGAU
This 378-nucleotide ribosomal RNA is filed under the name uncultured Actinomycetales bacterium. Its description in RNAcentral is "bacterial SSU rRNA". It matches the Rfam family "Bacterial small subunit ribosomal RNA", at positions 28 to 409 of the family's 1533-position model. Lineage: Bacteria; Bacillati; Actinomycetota; Actinomycetes; Actinomycetales. The record is from RNAcentral.